RNAcentral lists this ribosomal RNA (305 nucleotides) under uncultured bacterium. RNAcentral describes it as "bacterial SSU rRNA". It matches the Rfam family "Bacterial small subunit ribosomal RNA", at positions 333 to 635 of the family's 1533-position model. The record is from RNAcentral.
UGAAACCUACGGGGGGCAGCAGUGAGGAAUAUUGGUCAAUGGGAGGAAUCCUGAACCAGCCAUGCCGCAUGCAGGACGACGGCUCUACGAGUUGUAAACUGCUUUUGUACCGGGGUAAAAUGCCUUACGAGUAGGGUUUUGAAAGUACGGUACGAAUAAGGAUCGGCUAACUCCGUGCCAGCAGCCGCGGUAAUACGGAGGAUGCGAGCGUUAUCCGGAUUUAUUGGGUUUAAAGGGUGCGUAGGCGGGUUUUUAAGUCAGAUGUGAAAUCCCGCGGCUCAACCGCGGAACUGCAUUUGAAACUG